CACGUAGGGCGCAAGCGUUGUCCGGAAUUAUUGGGCGUAAAGAGCUCGUAGGCGGUCUGUUGCGUCCGCUGUGAAAACUCGGGGCUUAACCCCGAGCCUGCAGUGGAUACGGGCAGACUAGAGGUAGGUAGGGGAGAAUGGAAUUCCCGGUGUAGCGGUGAAAUGCGCAGAUAUCGGGAGGAACACCGGUGGCGAAGGCGGUUCUCUGGGCCUGACCUGACGUUGAGGAGCGAAAGCGUGGGGAGCGAACAGG
This 253-nucleotide ribosomal RNA is filed under the name uncultured bacterium. RNAcentral describes it as "partial 16S ribosomal RNA". It matches the Rfam family "Bacterial small subunit ribosomal RNA", at positions 524 to 776 of the family's 1533-position model. The record is from RNAcentral.